Molecule: small RNA, 163 nt
Filed under: Thermoactinomyces vulgaris
Lineage: Bacteria; Bacillati; Bacillota; Bacilli; Caryophanales; Thermoactinomycetaceae
Also listed under: 1 other name
Description: Magnesium sequence
Rfam family: M-box riboswitch aptamer (ykoK leader)
About the family: M-box riboswitch, also know as ykoK leader is described as a metaloregulatory RNA that sense divalent metals and function as a genetic control element of genes related to divalent metal transport in bacteria. It was first reported upstream of the B.subtilis ykoK gene and genes with related functions in other bacteria.
Source: RNAcentral
UCUUAUCUCUAUUAGGUGAGGCUCCUGAUCGGAGAGACGCUACUGCCCAAAAAUGUCGAGAGACACCAAUGGGUCAGCAGGAAAGAUCGGAACGAAGGUCUUUUCUAACGUAGCUGGCUUAGCCUAUGCCGUUCAGUGCCAAAGCUCAAUGAGGGAGAUAAGC